AACAUCGCGCACCUGCGGGAACCUGCGGAGGGAUCAUUAUCGAGUUAGGGUCGUUCUGGCCCGAACUUCCAACCCCUUGUUUAUCACACCAUGUUGCUUUGGUAGGCCCGCCCCUCCUUGGGGGCCGCCGGAGGUUAUCUUACCUCUGGCCCGUGCCUGCCAGUAGCCUUAUUAAAUUCUUUUUUAACUGUGUCGUCUGAGUGGCCUUUUAAAUCGUUAAAAACUUUCAGCAAUGGAUCU
This 240-nucleotide unclassified non-coding RNA is filed under the name soil metagenome. RNAcentral's name for it is "partial contains 5.8S ribosomal RNA, internal transcribed spacer 2, and large subunit ribosomal RNA". The record is from RNAcentral.